AAAGGGCGCGUAGGCGGUCUUUUAAGUCGGGGGUGAAAGCCUGUGGCUCAACCACAGAAUUGCCUUCGAUACUGGGAGACUUGAGUUCGGUAGAGGUUGGUGGAACUGCGAGUGUAGAGGUGAAAUUCGUAGAUAUUCGCAAGAACACCGGUGGCGAAGGCGGCCAACUGGACCGACACUGACGCUGAGGCGCGAAAGCGUGGGGAGCAAACAGGAUUAGAUACCCUUGU
RNAcentral lists this ribosomal RNA (230 nucleotides) under uncultured bacterium. Its description in RNAcentral is "partial 16S ribosomal RNA". It matches the Rfam family "Bacterial small subunit ribosomal RNA", at positions 562 to 791 of the family's 1533-position model. The record is from RNAcentral.